AGUGUGUGCUCAGAGCAGGGUGCCUGAAUAAUGGCUUCUCUGUUUACAACAUACCCAACAGAAAUCUGGGGUCAUUGUGGCAAGGGGUACAGAAUUUGUGGCCUCUUUAAGAACAAAUGCCCUACAUGU
This 129-nucleotide small nucleolar RNA is filed under the name Carlito syrichta (Philippine tarsier). RNAcentral describes it as "Small nucleolar RNA SNORA11 (ENSTSYG00000021964.2)". It matches the Rfam family "Small nucleolar RNA SNORA11". Rfam says of the family: U107 (SNORA11) is a member of the H/ACA class of snoRNAs that guide the sites of modification of uridines to pseudouridines. This snoRNA was identified by RT-PCR from blood cells and its expression confirmed by Northern blot analysis. Lineage: Eukaryota; Metazoa; Chordata; Mammalia; Primates; Tarsiidae. The record is from Rfam by way of RNAcentral.